GCACUGCUCGCCGCCGCUUGGCCCCGUCGGGCUCGGCACCCAGCGUGACGCAGGGCAUCGCCGCCAGCGCGAGGGCGACGGCUGGCAGCCCGACGAAGCACGCGACGACCAUCAGCGUGCGGCACGCCUUAGGCAGACAGGCGCCUCUACCCUACCUGGCAAGGCGAGGAUUUGGUUUAGCGCGACGCAGUGGUACAGCGCCGUGGAGAUGACACAGUCCACCCAGAGCCCCCGGGUGCGCAGCUCGUCCAUCCGCCGGCAGGUAUGCAUGUCAUACUUGCAGGUGAGUACCCAGUCACCGGUGGCGGUGGCGAUGAUGAUGCCGACCCAGCCGAGGCAGCUGACCACGAAGCCACUGAACCGUAUGCAGCCGCGAGCCAUGGGGAAAUGGUUGCUUUGGAUGCGCGAUAAGGAGAGUGGAAGAGGGUCCAACCCCCUUCAAGGAGACUGGUUCCAGAGCCUAAGCUGUGUGUCGAGGGAGGACAGCAGACGGGACAAAUACGUAUUUAGAGGAUAAAACGGGCCGUUGAAGAAAAACGUCAGCUGUGAAAAUCCUCACCAAUCGCUUUAAUGACAUUCAUUUAUUAAAUGAAAAUUAUCACCAGCAAAAUUUUGAAACGUGGCGCAGAAUGUUUUCGAUUUGUAACGUAACCGGUUCCCCUACCCUCCAGCCACCACUUCAUGAAGUUGGGAAGCGUAAAAGCGAGUCUCCAAAACACCAGAAAACCUGAAAAAAAGCUAGUUGCUUUUUUUGAAAAAGAGUUGCUAGAGGGGUCUGAAAACUCGUUAAAUAGUUGCUAAGUUGGAAAACUGACCUGUGUGUAGAUGCACAUAUGGUGACAGUGAG
Molecule: long non-coding RNA, 847 nt
Organism: Brienomyrus brachyistius
Lineage: Eukaryota; Metazoa; Chordata; Actinopteri; Osteoglossiformes; Mormyridae
Exons: 4
Source: RefSeq, a predicted model, not a curated record